Small nuclear RNA from Chlorocebus sabaeus (green monkey), 107 nucleotides. NCBI's taxonomy places the organism in Eukaryota, Metazoa, Chordata, Mammalia, Primates, Cercopithecidae. The record is from Ensembl.
GUGCUCGCUUUGAUAGCACAUAUACUAAAAUUGGUACAAUACAGAGAAGAUUACCAUGGCCCCUGCACAAGGAUGUCACGCAAAUUCAUUAAGUGUUCCAUAUUUUU